RNAcentral lists this ribosomal RNA (663 nucleotides) under Clubiona pseudogermanica. Its description in RNAcentral is "SSU rRNA". It matches the Rfam family "Eukaryotic small subunit ribosomal RNA", at positions 436 to 1106 of the family's 1831-position model. Lineage: Eukaryota; Metazoa; Arthropoda; Arachnida; Araneae; Clubionidae. The record is from RNAcentral.
CAAUUACCACUCCCAGAACGGGAGGUAGUGACGAAAAAUAACAAUACGGGACUCUUUUGAGACCCCGUAAUUGGAAUGAGUACACUCUAAAUCCUUUAACGAGGAUCCAUUGGAGGGCAAGUCUAGUGCCAGCAGCCGCGGUAAUUCUAGCUCCAAUAGCGUAUAUUAAAGUUGUUGCGGUUAAAAAGCUCGUAGUUGGAUCUCAGUUCCAGACGGGCGGUCCACUUACCGGUGGUUACUGCUUGUUCUGAACAGCCAGCCGGUUUCUCUUGAUGAUCUUCACCGGUUGUCUUGGGUGACCGGCAAGUUUACUUUGAAAAAAUUAGAGUGCUCAAAGCAGGCGCGACGCCUGAAUAAUGGUGCAUGGAAUAAUGGAAUAGGACCUCGGUUCUAUUUUGUUGGUUUUCGGAACACGAGGUAAUGAUUAAGAGGGACAGACGGGGGCAUUCGUAUUGCGACGCUAGAGGUGAAAUUCUUGGACCGUCGCAAGACGAACUACUGGCGAAAGCAUUUGCCAAGAAUGUUUCCAUUAAUCAAGAACGAAAGUUAGAGGUUCGAAGGCGAUCAGAUACCGCCCUAGUUCUAACCAUAAACGAUGCCAGCCAGCGAUCCGGCUGUGUUCCUCAAAUGACACGCCGGGCAGCUUCCGGGAAACCAAAGCUU